AAUAACAAUGUUGACUUCGGGAUGGGGGAGAUAUAACGAUUAUGAAAAUGAUUUUCAUGUCUGAAACUCUGAGGUCCCA
Molecule: small nucleolar RNA, 79 nt
Filed under: Erinaceus europaeus (western European hedgehog)
Lineage: Eukaryota; Metazoa; Chordata; Mammalia; Eulipotyphla; Erinaceidae
Description: Small nucleolar RNA SNORD113/SNORD114 family (ENSEEUG00000022532.1)
Source: RNAcentral